UUUUUAUGGCUUAACAUUAGGUUGGUGCAAAAGUAAUUGUGGGUUUUGCCAUUAACCAUAUUAAUAAUGUCGAAGACCUCAAUUACUUUUGCACCAACCUGAUAGCUCA
This 109-nucleotide microRNA precursor is filed under the name Chlorocebus sabaeus (green monkey). Its description in RNAcentral is "miRNA (ENSCSAG00000025021.1)". Lineage: Eukaryota; Metazoa; Chordata; Mammalia; Primates; Cercopithecidae. The record is from RNAcentral.